RNAcentral lists this long non-coding RNA (2290 nucleotides) under Oryza sativa Indica Group (long-grained rice). Its description in RNAcentral is "lncRNA OsGoSa_02g0018900". Lineage: Eukaryota; Viridiplantae; Streptophyta; Magnoliopsida; Poales; Poaceae. The record is from RNAcentral.
GCCACCGCAGCCCAGGGCGGCGCCGUUGUCUCUGGGCCGGCGCGGCCGCCGCGCUCGCCUCCUCGCUCGCCCACCGAGCGCUUCACCCAGGGGCGGGCCCGUGAGCAGCCCGGAGGCGGAGGCCGCGGCAUCGACGGUUUGAGCGCCGCCGCUGCAUUGGUGGACCGCAAAGGAAAGAGAAAGAUCGGAGAAGGAUCUUUUACAGUCUCUGAUGAUCGGGAACAGGCACGAAGGAAGGAGGAGAGGACAUCUGAUUCCCCCAAAGUGAAGCUUCUCAGGAGUAGCAUUCGUGCGUAUCAUGGCGACGCCGAGGAGAAGCUUUCAGAUAGAAAAGGAGAACCAGUGAACUACCCGUUUCAUAAUUGCGGGGCAAGCACAUCAAAACUGCCUGCUCAUGUGUAUCACAAGAAAAUUCCCAUGGGAGAAGCUGCAAAUCAUUAUUUCAGGAACAUUGAUAAUUCUUUCCAGCAACCGGAAGUUGGUUUGCGUUUAAAGUAUCUCAGCCAUCACUAUUCAGAAUUUAGGCCAGUACAUAGAGAUGAGGAAUGUUUCUAUAGGAGUUUCAUAUUUUCCUACCUGGCAUUUGAGAGGCUGAUAGAGAAAAUAAAGGGAUGGAAGCGCAUGCAGGAGCACCCAAUAUCAAUAAUCAGAUUAGUAGCAGCUACCUGGAUGUGCACGCGCAUAUGGAAUUAUGAAUGGUGUGCAACUAAUUGUGGAGAAAAUCAGAAUCUGGAAGAUUGGUGCUCGAAGCACGUAAUUGCUCCUCGUGUGUACGCAACCUCUGCUGCAGUAAAAGCUUGUGCAGAAGCUCUCAGGGUGACCGUCCAAGUGGAGAACGUUCAUGAUGGAACUUGCGAAAGUACGCACUACAUUGUCCGCGGCGCUCCUUGCGUGACCUUGCUGCGCAUAGAGUCUCACUAUGACAUCAUCUACCCACUCCCUCCUAGUUCUAUUAAUAGUUCAAAUCCACAUGAGGAGAAGUUACUCCCAAUCCCAAGUAGCAUUCUUGCGUAUGACAGGAGAAAGAUUUUCGAUAGAAAACAAAAGCAUCUGGACCGCUCCAAUCAAAAUACUAGAGCAAGCACCUCAAAAUCACCGCCUCAUGAGGAUCAAAAGCGUUCAGGUAGAAAAAGAAAGCGACCUGGCUGCUCCAAUCAAAAUCCUAGAGCAAGCAUGUCAAAAUCAUCGCUUCGCAAGGAUCAUAAGUCCUCAGCUCUUGCAACUUUAGUUGAUACUAGAAGAAGAAGAACGAGGUUAACAGAUACUAUCAUUCCUCCUGGAUGCGGAAGGACAAGGAAAUAUGAAAUCACAAGAAUGAGCACUCGACUUGUGUUACGAAGAAGUGUUAGGUCCCUUUACAAGUUGCACAGUCAGCCAAACUCACUCGCUGGUCGAUUCUCAUUGAGAAAUUUUCUGAUAAGUGACGAGAUGACCAUUGAAAUGGAUGAGUUUCAAGCUGAUGAUUUAGACCCCCUAUACAAAGGCCAAUGCAGAGUUCCUGAAGAUAUUCACAGAUGGCUAAGUAUGAUUAUGAGAGAUCCAACUGCUUAUCAGUAUCUGAUAUGCUAUCACUACUGUUUGAUGGAAGAGCACCAAAUGAUGCAUGUCUUUACAUCAUUGUACAAUAAACUGCUAGUAUUGCCAACAACAGACCCAGCAGGAUACAAUUUUGUGCUUGAACGUCUCAAGAUAUUCUCUGGUUGGAGCCCGAUGGAUCUUCACAACGUUUAUUUCAUUGAGACCUUUUACUGGAAAGAUCCCAUCACGGGCGUACCAAUCAUCUACGGAGAUGAUGUUCUCUCCUUGCUGAGAUUGGUAAGAAAUACUUAUCAGCAUUUCAUGUCGAAGGUGGUAGAGGGCAGGAAACUACUCUUCUCUGAAAAAGAUUUCGGGAAUAUGGUCAACGAACAAUUUUCUGGGCUUCUUGAUGAAUUUUUUUGAAGCGAUGUUCAUUGCCACGUAUUAUGCUGACUUACAACUUGAGCAUACAAUGGUGUAAAUUGAUAAGGAGAAGAAGUGACCUGCUGCUGAUUUCUGACGGGCGUGAGCUAAACCAGUUAAGAGUACGCAUGGUGUAAAUGAUGAGAGAAGUGGACAGUAGCUGAUUGUUAACAGCCAAUGAGCUAAACAGAGCUGUGUUUUAGUUGAACCUGUGCAGUAACGAGAUCCUUAUUGUUUUUUUGUUAAAUGUGACAUGCUGUGCAUGUGGAAUUGUUCAGUAUGUGAGCUCAUAUAUAGUAUGAAAGUGUUCUUUGAUCUAACAUUAUCUGUGAGUUCUAAAAUCACUUCC